UACGGGGGGGGCAAGCGUUGUUCGGAAUUAUUGGGCGUAAAGAGCUCGUAGGCGGUGUGUCACGUCGGCCGUGAAAACUUGCAGCUUAACUGUGGGCGUGCGGUCGAUACGGGCAUCACUGGAGUUCGGCAGGGGAGACUGGAAUUCCUGGUGUAGCGGUGAAAUGCGCAGAUAUCAGGAGGAACACCGGUGGCGAAGGCGCCGCUCUGGGCCGAAACUGACGCUGAGGAGCGAAAGCAUGGGUAGCAAACAGG
This 254-nucleotide ribosomal RNA is filed under the name uncultured bacterium. RNAcentral's name for it is "partial 16S ribosomal RNA". It matches the Rfam family "Bacterial small subunit ribosomal RNA", at positions 524 to 776 of the family's 1533-position model. The record is from RNAcentral.